RNAcentral lists this ribosomal RNA (253 nucleotides) under uncultured bacterium. Its description in RNAcentral is "partial 16S ribosomal RNA". It matches the Rfam family "Bacterial small subunit ribosomal RNA", at positions 524 to 776 of the family's 1533-position model. The record is from RNAcentral.
UACGUAGGGUGCGAGCGUUAAUCGGAAUUACUGGGCGUAAAGCGUGCGCAGGCGGUUUUGUAAGCCAGAUGUGAAAUCCCCGGGCUCAACCUGGGAAUGGCAUUUGGGACUGCAAGGCUGGAGUGCGGCAGAGGAGACUGGAAUUCCUGGUGUAGCAGUGAAAUGCGUAGAUAUCAAGUGGAACACCAGUGGCGAAGGCGAGUCUCUGGACAUUUCCUGACGCUGAGGCGCGAAAGCUAGGGGAGCGAACAGG